AUGAUCAUCGCUGAACCUGUAAUAUGGGAUAAACUUAUCAAGGACCAUGCAAGGAUAAAGAAGUUCCGUUCAAAACCAUUCAUGCUCUUCAAGUCAUUGGCUUCACUACAUGAAGGAAGUGUUGCUUCAGGAGACUUGAACUUUGUAUCAAUUCCGCAAGUGGAUCUCACAAGCGAUGCCAUUUCUCCUAUGGAUUCCUCUACCAAUGAUUUGAACCAUAUCUCCUCUACCAAUGUUGAUGAUGGUAUGUCCUCAUCUGAUAUACAAGGGCAAGGGGCAUCAAGAAGAGAUGAACCUGAAGCUACAACAUCUACCAACUCUGAACAAAAAGGGAGCACUGCCUGUGAAAAAGAGGAAGCAAAGCUAGAUCGCUGUUGUACUUGA
This 384-nucleotide ribosomal RNA is filed under the name Triticum aestivum (bread wheat). RNAcentral describes it as "partial small subunit ribosomal RNA". The record is from RNAcentral. Lineage: Eukaryota; Viridiplantae; Streptophyta; Magnoliopsida; Poales; Poaceae.